UACGUAGGGGGCAAGCGUUAUCCGGAUUGAUUGGGCGUAAAGGGUGCGUAGGCGGCAAAUCAAGUCAUAUGUCAAAGACUGCGGCUUAACUGCAGACAGACAUAAGAAACUGAUAAGCUAGAGUGCAGGAGAGGCAAGCGGAAUUCCUAGUGUAGCGGUGAAAUGCGCAGAUAUUAGGAAGAACACCAGUGGCGAAGGCGGCUUGCUGGACUGUAACAGACGCUGAGGCACGAAAGCGUGGGGAGCAAAC
Molecule: ribosomal RNA, 250 nt
Filed under: uncultured prokaryote
Description: partial 16S ribosomal RNA
Rfam family: Bacterial small subunit ribosomal RNA
Source: RNAcentral